RNAcentral lists this long non-coding RNA (227 nucleotides) under Homo sapiens (human). Its description in RNAcentral is "LHRI_LNC1690.1". Lineage: Eukaryota; Metazoa; Chordata; Mammalia; Primates; Hominidae. The record is from RNAcentral.
GCUGCCCCAAUGCUCCUUCUGGUGCCUCUAUCUGCUGAGGGAAGUUCUCAAACUCAGUCAGGUUUGGAAAGUCAUUGGGAGAUUUUCCUAGAGGAGGCCAGGGAGGUUCCUCUGAACCCUAAGCCUCUUUCGCCCUCAUCCCCAGCAGAAAAGACGUGACAAUGCCUGUCCUGACUGAAUAAAGAAGAGAGAUAAGUCCAGCUGAGGAGUCUGUGUUAUGGGAUAAU